CCUACGGGAGGCAGCAGUGGGGAAUAUUGGGCAAUGGACGCAAGUCUGACCCAGCAACGCCGCGUGAAGGAAGAAGGCUUUCGGGUUGUAAACUUCUUUUAAGGGGGAAGAGCAGAAGACGGUACCCCUUGAAUAAGCCACGGCUAACUACGUGCCAGCAGCCGCGGUAAUACGUAGGGAGCAAGCGUUGUUCGGAAUGACUGGGCGUAAAGGGUGCGUAGGCGGUUAUACAAGUUAGAAGUGAAAUACCCAGGGCUUAACUCGGGUGCUGCUUCUAAAACUGUAAGACUUGAGUGCAGUAGAGGUUAGUGGAAUUCCUAGUGUAGCGGUGGAAUGCGUAGAUAUUAGGAGGAACACCAGAGGCGAAGGCGGCUAACUGGACUGCAACUGACGCUGAGGCACGAAAGUGUGGGGAGCAAACAGGAUUAGAUACCCCUGUAGUC
Molecule: ribosomal RNA, 443 nt
Filed under: uncultured bacterium
Lineage: Bacteria
Description: partial 16S ribosomal RNA
Rfam family: Bacterial small subunit ribosomal RNA
Source: RNAcentral